CGUCGAACUGGGCGACACGGACUACCCGCCGGGUUCCGGUUCUGGCGGGUCGUUCGGCGCGGCUUCGACCG
This 71-nucleotide transfer RNA is filed under the name Primorskyibacter flagellatus. Its description in RNAcentral is "tRNA-Arg". The record is from RNAcentral. Lineage: Bacteria; Pseudomonadati; Pseudomonadota; Alphaproteobacteria; Rhodobacterales; Roseobacteraceae.